Molecule: transfer RNA, 60 nt
Filed under: Diaphanes pectinealis
Lineage: Eukaryota; Metazoa; Arthropoda; Insecta; Coleoptera; Lampyridae
Description: tRNA-Cys
Source: RNAcentral
GACUUUAUAGUCAAUUAUGAUUUUAAAUUGCAAAUUUAAAGGUGAGUAUUUCUAAAGUCU